GCUUAACCGGAGAAGUGCAUCGGAAACUGGGGAACUUGAGUGCAGAAGAGGACAGUGGAACUCCAUGUGUAGCGGUGGAAUGCGUAGAUAUAUGGAAGAACACCAGUGGCGAAGGCGGCUGUCUAGUCUGUAACUGACGCUGAGGCUCGAAAGCAUGGGUAGCAAACAGGAUUAGAUACCCUGGUAGUCCAUGCCGUAAACGAUGAGUGCUAGGUGUUGGAGGGUUUCCGCCCUUCAGUGCCGCAGCUAACGCAUUAAGCACUCCGCCUGGGGAGUACGACCGCAAGGUUGAAACUCAAAGGAAUUGACGGGGGCCCGCACAAGCGGUGGAGCAUGUGGUUUAAUUCGAAGCUACGCGAAGAACCUUACCAGGUCUUGACAUACUAUGCAAAUCCUAGAGAUAGGACGUUCCCUUCGGGGACAUGGAUACAGGUGGUGCAUGGUUGUCGUCAGCUCGUGUCGUGAGAUGUUGGGUUAAGUCCCGCAACGAGCGCAACCCUUAUUAUCAGUUGCCAGCAUUAAGUUGGGCACUCUGGUGAGACUGCCGGUGACAAACCGGAGGAAGGUGGGGAUGACGUCAAAUCAUCAUGCCCCUUAUGACCUGGGCUACACACGUGCUACAAUGGGCGGUACAACG
This 637-nucleotide ribosomal RNA is filed under the name uncultured bacterium. Its description in RNAcentral is "bacterial SSU rRNA". It matches the Rfam family "Bacterial small subunit ribosomal RNA", at positions 607 to 1244 of the family's 1533-position model. The record is from RNAcentral.